UGGGGAAUAUUCCGCAAUGGACGAAAGUCUGACGGAGCAACGCCGCGUGAGUGAUGAAGGUUUUCGGACUGUAAAACUCUGUUGUUUAGGACGAAAGUGCCUGUUGCAAAUAGUUGCAGGUAUUGACGGUACUGAACGAGGAAGCCACGGCUAACUACGUGCCAGCAGCCGCGGUAAUACGUAGGUGGCAAGCGUUGUCCGGAAUUAUUGGGCGUAAAGAGCAUGUAGGUGGAUACUUAAGUCUGUUGUGAAAAUGCGGGGCUCAACCCCGUAUUGCGAUGGAAACUGGGUGUCUUGAGUGCAGGAGAGGAAAGGGGAAUUCCCAGUGUAGCGGUGAAAUGCGUAGAUAUUGGGAGGAACACCAGUGGCGAAGGCGCCUUUCUGGACUGUGUCUGACACUGAGAUGCGAAAGCUAGGGGAGCGAACGGG
RNAcentral lists this ribosomal RNA (429 nucleotides) under uncultured bacterium. RNAcentral's name for it is "bacterial SSU rRNA". It matches the Rfam family "Bacterial small subunit ribosomal RNA", at positions 355 to 776 of the family's 1533-position model. RNAcentral also lists the same sequence under 2 other names. The record is from RNAcentral.